GUUUCAGUGACUCGGGACUUUGCAUUCAUUCGGUGGCGAGCAAACUGAACACAACUGACACAAAUGUUUAGGAACAAAGCUCCCAUCCGUACUAUGAGGAAUGAAGUGCUGAAUUAUCAGUAGGUUCUUUAGCUGAUGGAUUUCAGCUUCAUCCAAGGGUUGGUGCCUCUGAUCUCUAAAGGUGCAUCAUUGUAGAAGAUGUGGUUGCACAAAUCCUCCAGCGGGGGCUCUGGAUCAGAGGUAGCAAACUGUGCUGCUUCUUCUAUCUCCUUACGAAUCUCAGCAUCAAUGUCCUGUCAUGGUUCCAACAACAUAACAUGGUGAUACGAUCUGCAAUAAUCUGCCGCAAACCUGGUUGCCUCUCUCACGCUGAGAACAUCCAUACCAUCCACCUGGAGAAAACAAAGAAACAGGCUUGACUUAUUUGCUCAUUUGCUUGACUUAUGUGCCUUUUAUGUACUUCUGUAUAAAUUUGCAUGCACUGGUGAACAUAAAACUAAAAAAAAAAAAAA
Onychostoma macrolepis is the source of this 512-nucleotide long non-coding RNA. RefSeq lists it as uncharacterized. The record is from RefSeq and is a predicted model, not a curated record. Lineage: Eukaryota; Metazoa; Chordata; Actinopteri; Cypriniformes; Cyprinidae. The transcript is spliced from 3 exons.